CCCAUGAUCUAGCUUUUGAGGUUGAGUUAGGUGUAACAUCUCACACUCAGUUACACACAUUAAAAAAUCCAUUAGCUACAAUCUCUCUAUCUUCAUAAGUUACACACAUUAAAAACUCCAUCAGUUACAACCAGUCUAUCUUCCUCAGUUGCACACAUUAAAAACCGCCACAUUCUCCAGCAAUUUUACAAAUUAUUUCAUCAUCCAGCAAUCCCAGUUCUCUUGUCAAACUCAACUCUCAAGAAUCUAAGGGAAUUGGUUCAAGAAAACAAGUCUAAUCCUUUCUCCGGAUCUCAAGAUCUCCAAAUGCUUUGAGGUUCUGGCUCUCAAGUAUGUGUUCAGGCGCUUCAUUAGGAUUCCUAACUUUUGCUAUUGGUGAGCCUCUUUCCUACCAGGAGGCUGGAUAAUAUACAAUGAUUUUUUUUGUAUUUUAUUUUCUUUCUGUAUUAGUACUUAUUUGAGGCUUCACAGGCUGGUGUAGUUUUCAAAUAAACUUUUUAAUUUCUAGUCUUUAUCAUGACUAUUGUAUUGUAUAACAUUAAGUGGUGUUAAUAAACCUUGAUGAUAAUAUUUUGCCUUCAA
This is a long non-coding RNA of Capsicum annuum, 582 nucleotides long. RefSeq lists it as uncharacterized. The transcript is spliced from 2 exons. NCBI's taxonomy places the organism in Eukaryota, Viridiplantae, Streptophyta, Magnoliopsida, Solanales, Solanaceae. The record is from RefSeq and is a predicted model, not a curated record.